Molecule: ribosomal RNA, 497 nt
Filed under: uncultured bacterium
Lineage: Bacteria
Description: partial 16S ribosomal RNA
Rfam family: Bacterial small subunit ribosomal RNA
Source: RNAcentral
GAUGAACGCUGGCGGCGUGCCUAAUACAUGCAAGUCGAGCGAACAGACGAUGAUCUUGCUCCUCUUACGUUAUCGGCGGACGUGUGAUUAACACGUGUAUCACCUACCUUUUUUUCUUGUAUAUCUUCGUGAACCCUUCUCUAAUACCCUUUAAUAUAUUUAACCUCCUGGUUCUUUAGUUAUUUUCGUUUUUUCUGUCUCUUAUAGAUUUUUCCUCGCCGCAUUAGCUAGUUGGUAAGGUAACGGCUUACCAAGGCAACGAUGCGUAGCCGACAUGAGAGGGGGAUCGGCGAAAGGGGAAGUGAGACAGGGACCAGACGCCUACGGGAGGGAGCAGAAGGGAAUAGUGCGAAAUGGGCGAAAGCAUGACGGAGCAAAGCCGCGUGAGUGAAGAAGGUCGUCGGAUCGUAAAACACUGUUAUGAGGGAAGAAAAAAAGUGUAAGAAAAUAUGAACGUAUUGACGGUAACUAAAAAGAAAGCAACGGCUAACUACGUG